This 2094-nucleotide ribosomal RNA is filed under the name Listeria monocytogenes. RNAcentral's name for it is "partial 23S ribosomal RNA". It matches the Rfam family "Bacterial large subunit ribosomal RNA", at positions 836 to 2925 of the family's 2925-position model. The record is from RNAcentral. Lineage: Bacteria; Bacillati; Bacillota; Bacilli; Caryophanales; Listeriaceae.
AACUUGGAGAUAGCUGGUUCUCUCCGAAAUAGCUUUAGGGCUAGCCUCGAGGUAAAGAGUCAUGGAGGUAGAGCACUGUUUGGACUAGGGGCCCUUCUCGGGUUACCGAAUUCAGAUAAACUCCGAAUGCCAUGUACUUAUACUCGGGAGUCAGACUGCGAGUGAUAAGAUCCGUAGUCGAAAGGGAAACAGCCCAGACCACCAGUUAAGGUCCCCAAAUAUAUGUUAAGUGGAAAAGGAUGUGGGGUUGCUUAGACAACCAGGAUGUUGGCUUAGAAGCAGCCACCAUUGAAAGAGUGCGUAAUAGCUCACUGGUCGAGUGACCCCGCGCCGAAAAUGUACCGGGGCUAAACAUAUUACCGAAACUGUGGAUGAACCUCUUUAGAGGUUCGUGGUAGGAGAGCGUUCUAAGGGCGGUGAAGUCAGACCGGAAGGACUGGUGGAGCGCUUAGAAGUGAGAAUGCCGGUAUGAGUAGCGAAAGAAGGGUGAGAAUCCCUUCCACCGAAUAUCUAAGGUUUCCUGAGGAAGGCUCGUCCGCUCAGGGUUAGUCGGGACCUAAGCCGAGGCCGAUAGGCGUAGGCGAUGGACAACAGGUAGAGAUUCCUGUACCAGUGCUAAUUGUUUAACCGAUGGGGUGACACAGAAGGAUAGGGAAUCGCACGAAUGGAAAUGUGCGUCCAAGCAGUGAGUGUGAGAAGUAGGCAAAUCCGCUUCUCGCGAAGCAUGAGCUGUGAUGGGGAAGGAAAUUAAGUACGGAAGUUCCUGAUUUCACGCUGUCAAGAAAAGCCUCUAGGAAGAGUAGUACUGCCCGUACCGCAAACCGACACAGGUAGAUGAGGAGAGAAUCCUAAGGUGAGCGAGAGAACUCUCGUUAAGGAACUCGGCAAAAUGACCCCGUAACUUCGGGAGAAGGGGUGCUCUAUUAGGGUGCAAGCCCGAGAGAGCCGCAGUGAAUAGGCCCAGGCGACUGUUUAGCAAAAACACAGGUCUCUGCAAAACCGUAAGGUGACGUAUAGGGGCUGACGCCUGCCCGGUGCUGGAAGGUUAAGAGGAGUGCUUAGCUUCGGCGAAGGUACGAAUUGAAGCCCCAGUAAACGGCGGCCGUAACUAUAACGGUCCUAAGGUAGCGAAAUUCCUUGUCGGGUAAGUUCCGACCCGCACGAAAGGCGCAACGAUCUGGGCACUGUCUCAACGAGAGACUCGGUGAAAUUAUAGUACCUGUGAAGAUGCAGGUUACCCGCGACAGGACGGAAAGACCCCGUGGAGCUUUACUGCAACCUGAUAUGGAAUGUUUGUACCGCUUGUACAGGAUAGGUAGGAGCCGAAGAGACGUGUGCGCUAGCAUACGAGGAGGCAAUGGUGGGAUACUACCCUGGCUGUAUGACCAUUCUAACCCGCCACGCUUAGCGCGUGGGGAGACAGUGUCAGGUGGGCAGUUUGACUGGGGCGGUCGCCUCCUAAAGAGUAACGGAGGCGCCCAAAGGUUCCCUCAGAAUGGAUGGAAAUCAUUCGCAGAGUGUAAAGGCACAAGGGAGCUUGACUGCGAGACUGACAAGUCGAGCAGGGACGAAAGUCGGGCUUAGUGAUCCGGUGGUUCCGCAUGGAAGGGCCAUCGCUCAACGGAUAAAAGCUACCCCGGGGAUAACAGGCUUAUCUCCCCCAAGAGUCCACAUCGACGGGGAGGUUUGGCACCUCGAUGUCGGCUCGUCGCAUCCUGGGGCUGUAGUCGGUCCCAAGGGUUGGGCUGUUCGCCCAUUAAAGCGGCACGCGAGCUGGGUUCAGAACGUCGUGAGACAGUUCGGUCCCUAUCCGUCGCGGGCGCAGGAAAUUUGAGAGGAGCUGUCCUUAGUACGAGAGGACCGGGAUGGACACACCGCUGGUGUACCAGUUGUUCCGCCAGGAGCAUCGCUGGGUAGCUAUGUGUGGCAGGGAUAAACGCUGAAAGCAUCUAAGCGUGAAGCCCCCCUCAAGAUGAGAUUUCCCAUUUCUUCGGAAAGUAAGAUCCCUGAAAGAUGAUCAGGUAGAUAGGUUUGGAGUGGAAGUGUAGCGAUACAUGGAGCGGACAAAUACUAAUCGAUCGAGGACUUAACCAA